UUUCACAAAGAGGUUUAAACAAACUUUCGUUUGUUCAUUAGUCUUAAGCAACACAUUUAUGGCAGGGGAUGCAUUAAACCUAACAUAUGUCUGUGACCAAGGUAUUUGGUGGUUUUAAAGAUGAAGACACAAAGCCGUGCAUAUAGUUUAUGCGGAGCGGCCUUGAACUACCCGUAAUGGAGUGAGAUACAGUUAUUAUGUAUUAAUGCUGUGAAUCUUCAUCCAGAGAGAGAAAACAAACAGGCGAGAAGGAAUGCAGCAUCUUUGAAGAUAAAGACUUAGAGGGCCCCAUUCUGCAAUUGGUAUUGAGUUUGCAUAAACUCAUUUUGUUGUUGUUGUUGCUGCAUAAUUUUUAAAAUGCAACUGGUUUAAAUCUGUUCCCUGAGGUAAUUUACGCUAAAGCAGCAUUCUAACACCAUAAAUUCCCUGCUUAUGGCAAUCUCUGGUUGGGUGUCAGGUCGGUGUAAGUUACUGAGCAAAUGGCUGCUUCAAAAUUUUUAGGGUAAUUGCCUCUAUAACUCGUUUAGCAUAGGCCUUGUCAGGAAAUCUCUAAUUGUAAUUGAUGCCUCUGCUUCCUUUUCUCCUCCUGCUUUUUAACCACAUUGUUGUACUAAAAGCUUCACUCUCCAGUGCAGAAGAGCAUGGGGCUUUUCAUCUUCUGUAGCACUCGGAUUUUGUUAUUAUUAAAGCCUUCCCUCAUGAAAACGUGAUGUCACCCCCGAUGGGGUCCAGAAGGUGGUGGUUGGUUGGGUGUACCUCUGCCCCAGCCCAAUCUCUACCCUUGCCUAGGAAACCUUCAGUACAGAGAAGGUAGAUCUUGAUGGGGUUGAGAUAAAAUGAAGAGCAAGUUACCACUACUCCAAUUCUAAGUUUUGUAUGAAUGCUGGGUUGGCUGUUGAUUUCUACCAGAAUGGUGUGAGCAAAGUCAACAGCAUAUUUUUCUCUCUUCUCUCAUCUCAUGUGUAUGGGCAUGAUGCCUUGGUAGGAAGGGUAUCAUUGGAAUUGUAUAUUACAAUAUUCAUGGCCAGGAGCUUCUGUUGAUUUGUGUCUACAUACGGGGAUUUUUCAUGAAAUUGCAUAAAGCAUGUAAAGAAUCAACUCCAAAAUCCAAUUUGUUAAUUAUCUUGCUUAAAAUAUACUUCAAUUAUAUCACAUUUGACAUCGUAUGUCAUUGAUAGUAGACGGAAAUAACACUUAAAAUCAAUAAGUGUUUUUAAUUUAUUUUACUUAUUAUGCUUGUCAUAAUAUUUUGACAUGGAGUGCUGACAUGUCAACGAUGCUGUUAUCAGGAGGUAAGGCAAUGGCAUUAAACUGUCUCACCAUCUGUGCUACUGUUUCAGCAUAAAGUGGGCCCAUGGGGAAAAUAUAGCUAAAAUCUCCAAUGAAGUGUCUGCUUAUGAAGUAAAUACAGGUCAUCACUGAAUAAAGCAGCCUGAGCUCAAAACAAAACCUGAGGGAAAAAAAUCCACACUCUAAUCUAUUAUCUUUUCUCCCAAAGGAUUCAACAAUAAGAGCACUAAAAAUAUGCGAGUGCUGUCUGUGUGCCAGACUUGUGAAAAGUGUUCCACAUAUUUUAUCUCAUCUCCUCUAAGAGGUGAGGUACUUGCACAUGGCAAAACCCAGCUCUGAAUGAAAGUCUGUGUGAUUCCAUGCCUGGAUCUAUUCUCAGAAACCAAAGCCAUCACUAUUCUAUAUGGUUUGGAUAGAAAAUGGAUUCUGACUUCUGGAUCCUCUCCUGGCUAUUACAAUCCACAUCGCAGGGGGGUGAGGCACCCCCCGCGAUAUGGGGAGUCAUAGCAACCCCCUCUCCCCCCCUGGCUGUCACAAUCCACAUCGCAGGUGUGUGAGGCAACCCCUGCGAUAUGGGGAGUAAUAGGAACCCCCUCCACCUGCCCCGGCUAUCACGAUCCACAUCUCAGGGGGGUGAGGCACCCCCCGCAAUAAGGGGAGUAAUAGCAACGAUCUCUCCACCCCUAGCUAUUACGAUCCACGGUGGACUCAUAGCCUGUUUACGAUAUUGUCUUUUCUUCCGUUCUGUCCUCCAAAUCGGCCUCUUCCGAGUGUGUUGACCAGGGCCAGCCAGGCAGAAGGCUGGUUUCGCUCAAAGAGGAUCCUCUCGCCCAUCCUGGAACUUCAGGCCUGUUUCGGUUGGACCUGCAGAGAAGCCUUAGGGGCCACUUCGUUCGGCAUCCCAGGGGGCAGGUGCGCGGUACAGGGAAGAAGAGGGUUUGACUGUUGUUCUCAACCCCCGGCACCAAACCUCCACCCUGGUGCGCGCCCCUCCAGGCUCCUGCUGGUCUCAGUCGCCGGUAGUUAGGUCUCCUGUCAGCCUGAGCUCCCGAGACACCCAGCCCCGGAAGGACACGUAGGGGAAACCAGCUACUCACUUCGGUCUUGUCCGCAAGGGAUCCCUUUCUGACGGGAAAGAAAGGCGGCGAGUCCGGUCCUGUUGAGUAAGCGGAAGAGAGAUCAAGGGGAAGAGAAGAAAAAUCCUGUGAGGUUUCAAGAUCUAAAGUUACCAUGAAGUCGACCUAACCUCGUCUGGAGGUCCUCCUGUGGCUGGCGAAGGUGAGUCGAGUCCCCGUCUUCAGUUUGUCAAAGUGGACAAAGCCUACGACAAUGGCCAGUACCAGCUACUAGGCAUUCCCAGUCUUUCCAGUUGGUGGUACUGGAGCUUCCCUACCCAGGAUUUCCGUGGAUUCCAAGGGUACAACUGAACAGCUUUUGUUGUUCCAACUGCUCUUAUUUGAAGAAAGGGCCGAUCUGUUGAGAAGUACAUAGGAAAACCACUUUGGUAAGAGUAGUAUAGCAACUGUUGUUGAGACUGUCACAUUCCCCCCACCUCCUCCUCCCUCCUCCUAGAAAUGUUCAAUGAAAAUUAAUCCCCACGACGGGCCUGUUGUACUUUCAAUGUACAAUUGGCAGAACCUAAGGGAACUCUAGGAGGUUCCGGGAUGAAUAUGGGAAGUAUGACACAGUCAUUUUUAUUUACACAUGCAUUCCAAAAACACAUUGAAUAAACACAUCCAGUUCACCUGUGCCACACUUACAAAGAUGGGAAAAGAGGAACUACAUACAAACAAGUGAAGAUGUAAUUGAAUGGCUUUUAAAUAUCUGCUGAAGGUUUCCACUGAAGGUCUUCUACCAGUGUCUUCUCUUUCUCUAAAAUAAGACAUUCAAGUGCCAGACCCUGAAAUAAGUUUUCUGGUUCCAGCUUGUUCUUUCCCAUUCUGUAUCUUUGCCCCUCCACUCUCUUCUUACAUAUGCAGGAAAGGUCAGCUCUCCCUCAGUUUCUAAUUUGCAACAUCCCACAUGAAGAAUGCAAUGACCAGCAUCAAAAAUUAGACACCCUCCAUGGGACUCCAUCUCUGUCUUAGUUGGAGCUAAUGUACCAUAAACUGGGUAGCUGAUCCACAACAGACAUUUCUCACAGUUCUGGAGUUUGGAAGUCUAAGGUCAAGGUGCCAGCAUGGUAGGGUUAUGGUGAGGAACCUCUUCCUGGUCAUAGACUGCCAUCUUCCUACUGUAUCUGCAGGGGGCUGAAAGAGGCUGAGAGAGCUCUCUAGUGUCCCUUUUAUAGGGGCACUAAUCCCACUCAGGAGGACUCCACCCUCUGGAUCUAAUUACCUCCCAAAGGCCCCUCCUCCUAAUUUUAACACUUUCCAGGGGUGGACAGGGGAAGGUUAGGGUUUCAACCAAGGCAUUUUGGGGGGACACAAAUAUUAGGUCUCCUGUGAUCUUUCAAGAAGAAGAAGAAAUUAUAAAUGACCCAAAGCUUUGUACAUUUCACAGUUAGAAAUAAAGAAAACUUUUCCUAAGA
RNAcentral lists this long non-coding RNA (3820 nucleotides) under Homo sapiens (human). RNAcentral describes it as "HSALNT0295544". Lineage: Eukaryota; Metazoa; Chordata; Mammalia; Primates; Hominidae. The record is from RNAcentral.